This 437-nucleotide small RNA is filed under the name Pan troglodytes (chimpanzee). RNAcentral describes it as "processed transcript". Lineage: Eukaryota; Metazoa; Chordata; Mammalia; Primates; Hominidae. The record is from RNAcentral.
CGACCCAGCAUGGGCAACUUCAAGUCCAGGAAGCCCAAGUCCAUCUUCAAAGCGGAGAGCGGGAGGAGCCACGGAGAAAGUCAGGAGACAGAGCAUGUGGUAUCCAGCCAGUCAGAGUGUCAGGUGAAAGCAGGAACACCAGCUCAUGAGAGUCCACAAAACAAUGCCUUCAAGUGCCAAGAAACAAUGCGACUUCAACCAAGCAUGGCAGGUGCAGAUUCUGUGCUGACCCAAGUGUCUUCCAGUGACCUUAGCCCUGACAUAGCCCCAGGAUGGCCUCUCUAGCCUGCUAGACCUGCUGGAGACAGCCCUGGACCCAGGGCAAGGAUGUGGGUGGAAAGCAGCUGCAGAAAGGUUGGCAUGACAUUCUGAUGGGAGCCUGGCAUUGCAGCUGUCUAUGGAAAGUCUCUUCUGGAAAUAAACAGAAGAAAGAAUUC